AACCGCUUCCUUUGCAUAAUCUACCUAUCUGCCUACUUCUGAAUUGCUUCAGACUGCAGCCUUCAAAUUCCUUAUUACAGCCUAACCUAUUUUUGUCAAUGUCUUUACUAAAGAUUGCCCUCCAGAAGGUCAGGCAUUACUUUAUGAAUCAAUCAUUGCUGCCCUUUUGGCUCAUUAACCUCAAUUUCCUUCAUUACAACCAAAAAGCUUGUAAGAGUUGAUCAAAAGCAACACAGCAAGAAGCUAAUGGAGGAAAAGGAACAUUCUGCAUGGAUCUCUGUGGGGAGAAGAGAAAAUUCCAAGUGCCAGAUACCCUUGUCAAGAGAACCAGUCUUCUGUUUCCUGCUGUUGUGGCCGUAUCCUGCACCAUUUCUGUGCUCAUGAGGAUUCAGGCUGGAGACAGCAUUGUAGCAGUGAUUGCUUACACACCAUGUCCAUCCAACGGUGGUUCCCUGCACCUUCAGAGCCUUUCACAUAGUGCUGUGAGACCCCAAAUCCCAUGGUUCAACAUGGUCUUUAAAUGAUUGCUGACCUUCUUGAAAAAAAACCCUACAUUGUUAAAGAGCUCACCACAGCAGCAAGACUUGCUCGCAGCGCUUUUUGUUUUGUCUCAGUUGACAGGAAAUGAUUAAAAAAAAAAUCUCCUGAGUUUGAAAAUUUUGUGGAAGAGAGUAUGUAACAGAAUCAAGGAAAGCAAAACAAAGCUUGUGUUUGACAGAGCUGUGCAGUCCCAGCUUGGUAUUUCGGAUCUGGAUUGAAGCAAAGUUACAAAGUUGUGUUCAGACAUUGCCAUGAGACCUACUCACACUGGACAUGAUAGAAUGUGCAAGUGAAAUGAAUUUGAACCUUUCUGUUGAACUUAGAGACCUAUGGAGUAGGCUUUGCAACUACCUCCCAUUACCAGAAAUAACUCAUAACAUUUUAAGGAAAGAAGUUUACAACUUUAAAGAAUACCUUUAAUACACUUGAAAAAUGUAUUUGGAUGCUAUCAUAGCAUGGGGAAACAAGUAAAACAAAAACCCCCACAAACAUCCAGCCAUAUAUCCUUCAGCAAAUUUGCAUUCACACUUUCACCAAGAACUGCAGCUUGCUCUCAGGACUGUGAUUUUAUUAUGCUUAAAUUCUUGAUUGUCCGUUAAUAUUACCAUUAUCACAUUAGAUAUUCUCCAAUAUUAGAGAUUGCUUGUCACUUAAGCACAGAGAAUUUGAGUAUGCAAGAAGUCCAUGUGAAUCCAGUGGGAAUUCUCAGAUCCUAAAAGUGAAACAUGUUCGAAAACAUUGCUGAGCUGAAAUCAGAUUGAAGUGAGGAUGUCUUCCAACACCCAAGUCCAAAGUCAGCAGAGCAUUCUUUCUAUGAAAAGAUGAAUGCUGAUGAGUGAUAACCUUUGAAUUUGCCUAACAGAAAUUAAUUUACAGAUGUCUGCCUUAUGAAAUAAGUUCACCACAUCCUCAUUUCAAAUAACGCAGUUACUUUUGGGUGGGUUUAUGACAGAAAGAUAGGCACUGGGUUUUUGUGGUCCCCACAGUGAUAUGUUUCCUCUCCCUUUCCCUUAAGCACAGUAGAUACGGAGGUUGGGUGCUGCUCCAGCAGCACCUGGGCCAGGUAAUGUGCAAUUCCUCUUUACUACUCUUUUACCUCUAAGGAAGAUCCGUUACACACAAAUGGCAUGGAAUUCAGAUUACCUGGCAGUCACAGAGAAAUAGAAUCACUAUUGUCCGUUGCCUGAGCCUUUUUAAUCUAGUUUCCUUGAAAUUUGGUUUUGCUUAAUUUGCUUUCCCUCCUGUGUCUCAAAAAGAACUAGGAAAUUAUUCUGUUUAAUUGGUCAUAUGCCACUGGAAUUUAAAAAGCUUGGCAGUUUGGUGAUCUGCAAAUCUAUCAGAGUAGUUAGCAUAUACUUAUGAAGUCAGUAGAAUAAGGAGAGCCAAAAUUGAGAAAACCACUGUGAGAGUAGGGAGUCCCGAAUACUGAACAUGCACUGGAUGAAACGUCUGCUAAUCAACAGCAAAUUAACUUUGACAAUGUGGUAAGGCAAAACUUUCUGGGAACCUGUGACUGUACAUUGUAUGAAGAUUAAUACUAUAGAAAGCAGACAUUUGAUUUUUUUACAACAUUUCCCCUCUUGUUCCUGUGGCCUGGUCCUUUUUGACCACCUUCAGCUAGCUUCCAUCUCACCUUCCCCACACUGGAGUUGUAUUUUCUUCAACGAACAAAAUCAUCAAAACACAUUACGUCUUGGGACUGAGGUACUGUGUACUGUAAAUGCCCCAGAUCCCAAACUGAAAAUUGUGGAAAUCAUAUGGCUGGAAAAAAAACUAACCCACAAGUUUUCAAAGUCUGUGCUACUACACAGAAGCAUCGGUGGUUUUGUAGAAUGGCUCUAGCUUUGCCAAAACUCAUUUUUCACUCAGUUGCCUGAUAUCAGUUUCAUCAUUUGUGAUGCCUAGUUUCAACAUCUUAAAAAAAAAACUCACCCAAACAACCAACCAAAAAACCACAAGUUUUUGCUGCAGCUCCCACACAGUAAUUUAUUUGUAAGACAUUCCAAUGGCCGCCAAAUAAAAAAAUCCCUACAACCAACCAACCAACAAGAUCACACAACAGUCAUCAUUUUAACAGCUUAUGUAGGGAGUUACUGAAGACUGGAAUAAGAGCAAUGGUGUAUAACCUUAUGCAACUUAGUUAACUUGAUCAGCUGAAUGGCUGACUAUUAUGAUGAAGUUUUUCCUUAUGGAGGAAGUCCUAGGACAUCCUUGUCUUAUGGGAAGUACAUGAAGAACACGAAGGUCAUAGGACUGAAAAGGCAUAGUGUAAGUUGUAGAGUGCAUAAUUAGCAAAAUUUCUGUUCUAUCAGCUAUUUGAAUACUUGUAGUCUUAGCAUAAUGAAAAAUAGGUGUGUUAGUGGGUUUUUUCUUCUGUCUGGAAACGUCUUUCCUUCCCCUGCUGAAGCACAGCAUUCACAUCUGCAAUUGUGUGUCUUUGGAUUCAGAGCGGUUCCUGAAUGCAUAUAAUUUAGAACACUGAUUCUUGCAUCUUUGCCCCUGCCCCCAACCCCUUAAACAUUCCUGUUGUUAAUGAUUUUGCAGAAUCAACCCCUGCACAUUCAGAAAUCAUGUGCAACCUGCAGGGAAGAAUUAUUCAAAGUCCUCUGAGGGUUCUUUUAUUGACCAGGACAGAAUAGCUGAGGACAUGGGAGCUGCAAAUCCCUGGAGUAUUUCUAAAAUAAAGAUCAGAUUUGACUGCCCUUUGCAAUUGUUGAUGCUUUUAUUGGUCUUAAAUCUGUGGCACGUAUUUUUUGAUUGAAAAGUGUAUCCUAAAAGUGCAGCUAGAACAGAAAGAGACCUUUAUAAAACCUGUUUCUUGCUGAUUUCAGUCAGAUAAUUUUGACACCAGCAGACAGAGUGGGUUAUGUUGCUACCAUAACUAAAACAUGAUCAGAUUUAAAGUUGUGCUUAGUUAUUUUCAGGGUAUGUUCAAACAAUUCACAGACCAGAAAGGGAAAUACUUAGUUCAAGGGCUAGGGGUAGAAGGCAAAUUCAGCUGCUGGUUUGAUUUUUAACAACAACCUGUGCUCUGCUUCUAACAUUACCAGUUGUUGCACCAAAGGUAGGAAAACUAUGAACGUGGGAAAUCGCUUUAAAUGUCACAUCUGACUGACAAAGACAAAUCUCUAGUCUGCUGUAGGUCAAUGCCAACUCUGUGCAGAGGCUCAGAUCCUGAACUUUAACCCUUCAAAGGACAGACCGUAUCAAGACUGUCCUAUUUUGUAAUCAUACAUGUGUAGUUUAGCCAUUAUACAUAACAAGCUUACAAUAUACAUGUAUACGUUUAUACAAAGAAGUAGUAAUAUGAGUGACAGAGAAGAGAUACAGCCGCCUUUGAACUGUACCUAAUAGGCAUAAUGAAGACUGAUUUAAAGGUUUCCUCAGAGUCUUUUCAGGUGUUAUAGUAUUUGCUCUUCUUUGAACUGUAAGACAGAUGCAACUGCCCUUUAGCAGAUUAACCUGUAGAUUUAUAGAAAAUUAAGAAAUUGCCUUAAUCUAGUUCAGUAAAAAGCUAUUAUUUUCUAUGCUUGUAUAAGCAGUUAUUUUACAAUUUUAUUACUACUACUACUACUACUACUACUACUACUACUACUUCUACUACUACUACUAUUUUCAUGUUGGUACUGUCUCAAACCCCAGAGGAGACCAGAAGCUCAUAGAUUCAUCACAUCUGGAUUUACCAACCCAAUAUAAGAGACACCAAAGCAAAAUGGUUUAAAAGUAAUGUAGAAACAAAAUAGAUGAUAUUAGACAAAAAAGAGAAGCAAUUUGUCCCUGGUCAAAAUGAAGGUCACUGGCAGAGGUGGAAUUUGCCUCUAGGGCUGUUGAUAUAUGCGACUGUAGUGCUUCUCAAUUUUCCUAGAUCUUUUAGAGUUCCUUUAAAUAGCACGUUGUACAUGUUACAUAAAAAGGAAAUGUGCAGAUAACUUGGAAGCAUAAAUUCAAGAGGCAAGGUGGAGUAGCUGCCUCGCAGAGCCCAUCUAUUUCUGAAUGAUGACUCUGACAGCUGAACAAGUGCAUGACGACAAUUAUUUUUCAUUUUUUUUAUGUUGAGUAGAAAGCCGCUGUGUGUGGACUGCUAGCACUUACACCAUUAACAAGAUGUGUUCUCCUACUUGCUUGGUUUUCACACAGAUAGCUGCUAACUGUAACAACUGGGCUGCUAUUAACGUGUAUCAAAUAGCUCCCGAUUUCUUUGCUUUGAACCAAGUACCUUUUUUCCCCCCGCUCUGACUUAACAGGAAAAUUGGAAAAUGUUUAAGCAAGUGAUGUUAAUAGAGCCCCAUUUGGUACUUACAUCAUAUAUUAACAUAUCAAACACAGUUUAACAUUCAAAAUAUCUUCUGUCUGGCAGCCAGGAAAUUAUGCCAUAAUGUUAAUGUACAUGCCCUUAUUAAAUUUUGCCUCUAUAAUAGACAAUCUGUUAUAAUGUAAAGGGAACAGCAAUAUAUCAUAGAUAUUACAACACAGACUGGCACUGCAAAGAUAAAAUUUCAAAUAUGCAUACUUAUACAACUACUAUCUGAAUAUCUUUAUUUUGAAUAUCUUUAUUGAAUAAAUUUAUUUCUUCUGCAAAUAAACCAAGGACUCAAUAAACAGUGACAGGCAGGGAGAGCAGGCACCUGGGGAAAGGGGACGGGAGGAUGCGGGGAAGGGGAAGAAUAACAAAGAAUAGAUGCUGUGUGCAUGAUCAGUGUGAAACACUGUAAAAUCACACAAAAUCUGGGGGCAGUCCUGCCUCCCUUCUGCCUGCAACCAUCCCUUCCCACUGCCGUCUUACGCUUGCUGGGACCUAGUGAGGCAGAUCUGUUCACGGACCAGAUUGAAAUGUAACAAUUUCAAUGGAGGGGAAGAAAUUGCUGUCCACCAGCUCACAAUGCAUAUGCACGGUUACUUUAACCAAUCCAAGGAAACAAGAGAGAAGACUUGCAAAAACAGCCAAGAGUGGUGUGCAGGAGCAAGAAGCAGCUGCCCGUGCACAGCACUGCAGAAUCCCUCAGCUGAAGCUGGCUGUGAAACUCCACUGUAAGGAAAUGCAGCAGGUUUUAUGAAAGUCCACAACCACAAAACCAGUUGAAACUUGAAAUUUACUUUGAGAGUUUAAAGUAGUUUGAGUAGUUUUAAACAGCAAAAACAAAUGCCCACAUUUCCUAGAAUUAAUUUUUCAAAUUUAUUUUUAUUUCAAAGCAAAAUAUGUAUUUAUUUAUAUUUAAUUGAGACUGUCCUUUGAAAUCCAACCCUGUGAAGUUUUACUGCGUUCUCCCUUCUGCAGUUCCUGGAGUGCCUUUGAGAUGAAUACAUUAGAAAUUAACCUCCCUGCUGCCCAUGCUAUCUGCCUGACAGUAUUUCUCUGGAGCCACAUCUGGGAGCUGUGAAGUCAUAUGCUCCAGCUGGCAGUGCUGCCGUGAAGCUGCACUGUUUGGAAGCAGAACAUCCCAGUAAGCCACUGCAGAGAACUUGAACAUAAUUUUUAUAUGUAAAAUAUAUAUUCUCUGAAGCUUACAUAGCAAUCUGAGCCAGGAGAAUCCAACCAUUCCGGAAGAGUGGCAGAAAUAGUUUGAACAUGUUAACAAAAGUAAGCAGUCUCUAACAAACUUUUACACUUGAAGUUCAAUUUGUCUUGCUCUUAAGAAAUUGAAAUAAUUUUAACACUUCCCUAUAAAGAAAAAAAAAGUCAUCCAUUCUAAUAUGGACAUCAGUAAAAGAGGCCAGUAGAAUAAGGGUGAAGACAAAGCUUUAGAGAGAAGGAACAGCUCGUGAUGACUCAGGUUGCUGAGCCUUGUGUGCCAGUUUUACCCGCGACACAGCAGGCAGGCUGCAGCUUGUGCUAAUCCAGCAACACUGCGCAGUGAGAACUGUCAAAGCAAUUGCAAGGCCCAAGACAACAAACACCAGAUAAAACACUUGAGCAAAGAGAGACGAAGAAAAAAAAAAGUAUUUAAAAUUCAUGUAGAUUAAACUGAAGAGGAAAAACCUGAAUGUAAUAACAAAAUUUACAGAGAUUCUAGAGGAAAACUGUUCUUACUCAAUCCAACAAAUAAGGGGAUAUUUCAACUGUAAAUAUUUUGUUUAGAUUAUGGUGGAAAGCAGGCCUGUCCACCCCUCUGACACCCUGCCUUUUCUUCUCUGUUACCUGAACAAGAUGAUUUGCUGCCCUUUUGAUCUAUCUCUGGUGUUCCUUCCUCAGUGUCCCACUGUGCUUACUCAAAACUAAUGACUUUUUCUCCUCCCGGAACCUUGAUCCCCAGUCUGGCAGGUCCUGGGUCACCACUGUCACCUUCUUUGCCCUCAUUCAUCCCUGCUGCCACGAGAUAUCAAAGUGCCAGCUUGGUUGCCUUUGCUAUGAUGGGCUGACCUUGCAGAAAGCCAGCAUGCCUGGUAGCACCUGUGAACGUGAAGUCAGCUGCAUUGUGCUCCUUCUGAGAUAGGAAAAGUGACCUGGAGCAUCCUGUACCUGGAAUGGAGGACUGCACCUGGAUUCUUGGAAGCCUCCUGAGCUCUAGCAGUCUACAUGCACAGGUCAGAAAAAGGAUGGGACAGGAGGAGAGAAGGUGAAGUGAAACCAAGGACACACAGCAGCAGAUGGGAACGUUGUCUUCUCUAUCCAUGGCAUUGCCAGUUAGGAGGCACUGCCUCCUUUUGAUGCAGAACUGGCUGUGGUCCAACAUUAGAAGUAGGCAAAUCCAGCAGACUUUGGUACCAAGGGGAUCUCCUUUAUGGACUGCUGCAGCCAAGUCCAGAGGGCUCCCAGCCCUGGGGAGAGAGCUCUGGGAAGGGACUGAGCACAUAUUCCCAACCAACACACGUGUAUACGUAGUACCUGUGCAGGCUCACACAGAUCACUCCAAAGAUACCAGUGCCAUUGCCAGCACCCACCAGCUGCAACCAUGUGAAUACGAUCAGCACAAACAGCCCAUACCUGCCCUGCCCUGCCCUGAUCACCGCUGAAGUUCAUCGGUGGAGUACACUGAUCCCUCACUCUGGAUUCACACCGCAGUCAUUGACUACUCAAAUAUGAGCAGGAAACUACAUCAGGUUGCUCAGAGCCCCACCCAACCUGACCCUGAAUGCUUCCAGGGAUGGGGCAUCUACCAUCUCUUUGGACAACCUGUUCCAGUGUUUCACCACACUCAUGGUAAAAAAAAACCCUAUUCUUUAUAUCUAGUCUGAAUCUACCCUCAUUUAGUUUAAAAUCAUUACCCCUUGGCCUAUCGCAACAGGACCUGCUAAAAAGAUUUCCCCCCAUCUUUCUUAUAAACCUCCUUUAAGUAAUGAAAGGCCACAAUAUGGUCUCCUUGGAGCCUUCAUUUCUCCUGGCUGAACAAUCCCAGCUCCUUCAUCCUUUCCUCAUUGGAGAUCAUUUUUGUGGCCUCCUCUGGAACUGUCUCCAACAGGUCCAUGUCUGUUCUGUGCUGAGGGCUCCAGAGGUGGAUGCAGUACUUCAGGCAGGGUCUCAGGAGAGCAGAGUAGAGGGGCAGAAUCACCUCCCUCAACCUGCUGGCCACAGUUCUUCUGAUGUAGCCCAGGAUACAGUUGGCUUUCUGGGCUGUGAGUGCAUGUUGCUGGCUCAUUUCCAGUUUGCCACUCACCAGUACCCCCAGGUCUUUCUCCGCAGGGCUGCUUUCCACCCCUUCAUCCCUCAGCCUGUAUUGAUACCAGAGGGGCCCUGCCCAGGUGCAGGACCUUGCAUGACCUUCACAUAGGCCCACUUCUCAAGCAUGUCCAGGUCCCUCUGGAUGGCGACCCAUCCCUCAGGCAUGUCAGCUGCACCACUCAGCUUGGUGUUGUCUGUAAACUGGCUGAGGGUGCACUCGAUCCUGCUGUCUAUGUCGUUGAUGAAGAUACUAAAUGGUACUGGUCCCAGUACAGACCCUUGAGGGACACCAUCAUCACUGAACUCCAUCCAGGCAUUGAGCCAUUGACCACUACUCUCUGGAUGUGACCAUUGAACCUAUUCCUUACCCAUCAAAUAGUCCACCCAUCAAAACCAUAUCUCUCCAAUUUAGAGAGGAGGAUGUUGUGAGGGAGUGUGUCAAAGGCCUUGCAAAAGUCUAGAUAGAUGACAUCCCUAGCUCGUCCCUUGUCCACUGAAGUAGCCACUCCAUCAUAGAAGGAUAUUAGAUAGGUGAGGCAAGACUUGCCCUUGGUGAAGUCUGUGCUGGCUGUCUCAAACCAUUGCCCUGUUCCCCAUGUGCCUUAGCAUAGCUAGGAGGAUCUGUUCCAUGAUCUCCUCAUAUUGACUAAGCUCAUAAUAUCAUAAGAAGUUGAUAAAGCUAUAUGACCACCAUCAUAAAACAGGCAUCCUCUAUACCUGAUGAUUUCAUUGAGAAGCCCUUGGAGAGGGUUUGAGAUUUUCAAAAUGUUUUUUGUUACCUGUAUUGAGUUAAUCACAAAUACCCUGCAAUGCUCAAUAAAUCUUAAUUUCUGCACCUAGA
Falco peregrinus (peregrine falcon) is the source of this 8978-nucleotide long non-coding RNA. RefSeq lists it as uncharacterized. The transcript is spliced from 6 exons. NCBI's taxonomy places the organism in Eukaryota, Metazoa, Chordata, Aves, Falconiformes, Falconidae. The record is from RefSeq and is a predicted model, not a curated record.